UCAAAGAGAUAGUUUUCUUUCACCUCUUUCAAUAGCUUGAGGAAAGGCAGCCUUUUGGUUGUUUGUCUUAAGGAUAAAGGAUUCCUAUGUAUGUUUAGAGACUAUCAGAAAGGAGUCAGUGGAGGAGGGAGGAAGGUUAAAGCUCUCUCCUGAAGGAGGAAAUGAAAGAUGAUGCAUCAGAGGACUGGAGGAUACGGAGAAAAGUUUGAAACAGCCCUUGUUCAGAGGGCUAUGGAGUCAUUCAGAGAUGAAUUUUAUCUGAACAGAUGCCUCCAACUCAGUAGAAAAGAGAAACCAUCACGCAAGAAGCAGCAGCAUUCAUUGUAGGACAACUUCUUCAAAGACAACAGCUUUAUGUAACAGAACAAAAUGCUCUUUGCAAAAACUAUCUGCAACUAACAAAAUUAAUUGGUUUAUAAAACACUAGCUUUUAUCUCCAACUAAUAAUUCCCAUAUAUCUCUUAAUCUGCCCACAAAUAGUUGACAGGAAAUAAAAUCAGAGUUUAUUAGUUCA
This 514-nucleotide long non-coding RNA is filed under the name Monodelphis domestica (gray short-tailed opossum). RNAcentral describes it as "lncRNA (ENSMODG00000051503.1)". The record is from RNAcentral. Lineage: Eukaryota; Metazoa; Chordata; Mammalia; Didelphimorphia; Didelphidae.